GCAGGAAUCGCAGGGUGCAAGGCAGUGAAGGGAAUCAGCAGCACUGAAGAACCAACUUAGCGACAUGAAGACGAUGUUAGCCCUCAAAAAGGUCUCACCCAACAUAAGCCAGCUCAGAAGGUCCACGACACCGCGACCUAUCGCCAUCACUCCUCCCUCCAGCAGGGUCACACCCAAGCGAACACCACAGGGCAUCAUCAAC
Hypanus sabinus (Atlantic stingray) is the source of this 202-nucleotide long non-coding RNA. RefSeq lists it as uncharacterized. The transcript has 5 exons. NCBI's taxonomy places the organism in Eukaryota, Metazoa, Chordata, Chondrichthyes, Myliobatiformes, Dasyatidae. The record is from RefSeq and is a predicted model, not a curated record.